Molecule: long non-coding RNA, 1419 nt
Filed under: Polistes fuscatus (common paper wasp)
Lineage: Eukaryota; Metazoa; Arthropoda; Insecta; Hymenoptera; Vespidae
Description: uncharacterized LOC122523952
Source: RNAcentral
AGAAUAAGAAUAAGAAUAGGAAUAAGAAGAAGGAAGAUGAAUAAGAAAAGGAAGAAGAGGUUGAGGGACCCCCGGACCGAAAGUGCGAAAGAAGAGGCCCACGAAGCUUAUUUCCCCUUCUCUUCCGUCAUAUCAGAUGGAGUGUAGUAUGUAUAAGAGAGAAGGAAUAGGUUGGACCCUAUCGACGGUGAGGAACAAGAGGGAGAGAAAGAGAGAAAGAAAGAGAGAGGGAUCGUUCCCCUUCUCCAGUUAUUUGGUGUGCGUGGCUGAAACGCGCGCGUCUUUUCACUUAGUCUGUCUCACUCUUACUUCGUCGAUGCAUCUCACGCAUGCGCAAAGAUGGCGGACGGCUUGGACGAUCAGCUGUUGACCGUCGUCGUGUCGCAUAUGUGUGAGAGGGUCGACGACGUAACGAUGGAGGACGUCUGACGAUAGUUGUCUCUCUCUACUGUGAGAUAGCUCCUGAACGUUCCUUUUUCUCUUACCCAACUGGAAGCUUCUAUCUCGAAGAAGAACAUCCCUUUUUAAUUGACGACAACGUCAUCUUUCGGUCGCUCCUCGUAAUCACUUGCGCGCCAAAACUUCACGAACUGGGUCUUCUUCUUCCUUUUCGAAGAUGGCCUCGGUUGUCCGUUCAGAUGAGACACAUCGACAGACCCCCUUCCGACACGAAGGACCAGGGGCCUUAUCGAUGAAAAAUUCUUCGGAGCCCUUGCGCCUGCGCCAUUCGCGUUACGUAAUCUAACCAAGAAAACUAGAAGGAGAUCAAAGUUACUACAGUUAUAAUACACUUGUAUACGAACAAUUUUUAUAUAUAUAUAUAUAUACACUUACAUAGUUGCAUAUACACAUUUAAGAUUCCCCCUUUAAAACUUCAACUUGUUCUUUGUCUCUGCGCACAAGUGUUACUAGUGUUGCAACUCUAUUCUACGUGCCAAUGUAAUUUUAAACUUUAAUAGGUUUUACAAAUUGAUAAAAAUAAAAUUAAAUAAAAUGAAAAAAUUUCUAGAAAACCUUUACUCUUCACUGUUCAAAACGGAAAGACAUUACCGAUGCUUCUCGUUUCUAAGCCGAAACUAAGCGGUUGUUCUCUUCGGCUUUUUUCGUUGAACGGAGGGCUGUCUAAACAGUAGCGUAUUGGAUCCCUUUGAAAUAGGGAUCAUCAUCGAUAAAAUGCUCAUAAUAACUUCAAAUUUUAUCAAUGUUUAUGUUUCAAUCUUUCUGACAAUCUAAAGGCCAUAACAAAUAUACGUACAUGUAUGCAUAUAAUUUGACACUUUAAAAGGUUUAUAUUCACGAAAACAAAAAAUUAUUAAUAUUUUUUAUUCUUGUUAUAAUACUUGUACAAUAAAAUAGGAUCGAUCCUAUACUACAAACAUUCAUUUGCAUGCAACAAAGGAAAAUAACAAAAAAAUAAAA